RNAcentral lists this ribosomal RNA (206 nucleotides) under uncultured bacterium. RNAcentral's name for it is "partial 16S ribosomal RNA". It matches the Rfam family "Bacterial small subunit ribosomal RNA", at positions 1294 to 1500 of the family's 1533-position model. The record is from RNAcentral.
CGGAUUGUAGUCUGCAACCCGACUACAUGAAGCCGGAAUCGCUAGUAAUCGCGGAUCAGAAUGCCGCGGUGAAUACGUUCCCGGGUCUUGUACACACCGCCCGUCACACCAUGGGAGUUGGAAAUGCCCGAAGUCAGUGGCCCAACCGGAAGGGGGAGCUGCCGAAGGCAGGUUCGAUGACUGGGGUGAAGUCGUAACAAGGUAGC